AGACCAUACGGGGUGCAGCAGGCGCGAAACCUCCGCAAUGUACGUAAGUGCGACGGGGGGAUCCCAAGUGUUAUGCUUAAAAGUAUAACUUUUCAUUAGUGUAAAAAGCUUUUAGAAUAAGAGCUGGGCAAGACCGGUGCCAGCCGCCGCGGUAACACCGGCAGCUCGAGUGGUAGCUGUUUUUAUUGGGCCUAAAGCGUUCGUAGCCGGUUUGAUAAGUCUUUGGUGAAAGCUUGUAGCUUAACUAUAAGAAGUGCUGGAGAUACUAUCAGACUUGAAGUCGGGAGAGGUUAGAGGUACUACCGGGGUAGGGGUGAAAUCCUAUAAUCCUGGGAGGACCACCUGUGGCGAAGGCGUCUAACUAGAACGAUCUUGACGGUGAGUAACGAAAGCCAGGGGCGCGAACCGGAUUAGAUACCCGGGUAGUCCUGGCCGUAAACGAUGUGGACUUGGUGUUGGAAUGGCUUUGAGUUGUUCCAGUGCCGAAGGGAAGCU
Molecule: ribosomal RNA, 495 nt
Filed under: uncultured archaeon
Lineage: Archaea
Description: bacterial SSU rRNA
Rfam family: Archaeal small subunit ribosomal RNA
Source: RNAcentral